AGUCUGUAUUUUCAACUCUUCGGCUCUAGACCACCAGCACUGAGGACGAUGAAAAUUUUUUGGAUAGCAUUGAAGAGUUCAAAAGGUCGUAUGAAGUGUUUUGCCUGAAGCUUCAGUGAAGUAAAAUUGGUUUCUUCUGAGAAUAAGGUUGUUUAGGCCACCAUCCCUGGAACAAAUAUUAUCCCUUCCUGCAAUUCCAUUGUCUGCCGGUGUUACCGGCAGAGCUACUUUGAGUGCUGGGCAGGAGCUGAAGCCACGAUGGGCAGGGGGUUCAUUCUGGGGAGUGGCUGGGAGGGGAGAUUCUUAGACCUCUGAGCCUGCAGCUCUGAGCUCUGAGUUGAAGCUCUGCUCUCCAAAGCAAGGGUGGCUCAGAAGCGCUUUGGGGUCAUCUGUCUUCGCCAGCCUCACCUCACUCUUAUUCUCUGAGGAUGUUUAGGAAGAAAUGAAAAUUAUGUGGCUUAGUCUCAGCAUAGCAAGAACUGUGGGGAAGAUCAUUAACUUUCUAACCUGAUUUCUUCUGUGACUUCAGAGGCUUCCUUAACCUCCAGUUAGAAAUUUUUAUCAGGCAUAUUUGAUUAUUAUGUAUCAAGUAUCUGCCUUGUGCCAUUCGCUGUUUGAGGCAGUUAGAAACAGUGAUGGGCAUGUCAGAUGAAACCCUGCUCUGACGGACCUAAAAUCCUAGUGAGUGAUAAUUAAUAUUUAUACUUUAUCUUUUCACUUAGUGAUUAAUGUUCAAAAGAAAAGCACUCAUAUCAGAAUGAGGUACUUAUUCUUCAAAAAUUAUGAUAGAUUCUCUUUGUAUUUUAAAAAUAUUUUGGUGGUAUAUAAUAGAGUCAGUUUCUUCAACAGAGCUACAAGCUUGAUCCCCUUGUUGGGAAAUAUAUGUUACAAGGGCAACAUUAGAAACCCCCAUGAUCCAGUCACCUCCCACCAGGUCCUUCCCCCAACGUUAGGGAUUACAACUCAACAUGAGAUUUGGGUGGGACACGGAGCCAAACCAUAUCAGUUGUUAACUCAGCUCUCGUGUGCUAUAUCCUUUCCUUCGUGGGAUCCCAUUAAAAACAUUAAAUGAAGAAACAUAACAGCCAAGGGAAAGAUGGAAGGACCCUUCCACGGAAAAAAAAAAUGGAACAAAUAGCUUGAAGGAAAAUGAGAAGGAAAACCUGUUGAAGGAUGACACCGAUCUGGAAGAGGAUGCCCAGAGUGUAAAGAAGGAGAUGGGGAUGGGCAACAGGGCUCCAGAGGGCUACCAGGCUGUGCGUUCACAGGUCGGAGGAGCAGAAAAUGCGUCCAUCGCAACAAGAAGGGGGACUACUGUGAGUGGAAAGCUUGCUCAUGGAGAGGGAGACAUUCACUCCUCUCACUGUCCCCUAUCCCUGCUGUCCCAAGGAGAGAGCACCCCAGUUAUGUGAUUGAGUGUAGUAUUUUUUAAAUGUCAGUACUGGUUUGAUUUUUAACUAAGUAAAAAUGGAAAAUUAAACAAAAAGUACAGGGUAUCUGUCAACUUCCCAGAACAU
Homo sapiens (human) is the source of this 1517-nucleotide long non-coding RNA. RefSeq lists it as uncharacterized. The record is from RefSeq and is a predicted model, not a curated record. Lineage: Eukaryota; Metazoa; Chordata; Mammalia; Primates; Hominidae. The transcript is spliced from 3 exons.